Molecule: unclassified non-coding RNA, 604 nt
Filed under: Hevea brasiliensis (rubber tree)
Lineage: Eukaryota; Viridiplantae; Streptophyta; Magnoliopsida; Malpighiales; Euphorbiaceae
Source: RNAcentral
GACGGUAAUGAUAUGCAUCUUCAGCUGCUUCAAGAUAUCACAAACCGGCUUGGAGUGUUCCUUCCCCAACUAGAGGCUGAUCUUAACAGCUUUUCAGAUGCUGCAGAAUAUGCUACACGUUUUCUUGCAAUGCUUGCUGGUCCCCUUUACCCAAUUCUUCAAAUUGUAAAGGAAAGGGAAACAGCCAGGUCAGUAGGCAAUAUUUCGGAAUCUGAAGCUUCAAGAAACAGUCAACCUGUAAUAGCUUUGACUGUAUCAUCAAAUUUUGAGCCUAGGAGAUCACGCAUCAUGUCUUCCCUGAUUUUCCCUACAUCUUGUUACUUAGCUUUUCGUCCAGAUGCCAUCUUCAUUUUACUGAGGAAAGCUUAUAAGGAUUCUAACCUGGGAAAUAUUUGCAGAGUGGCCUCUUGGAUUCUGUGGAAGUUUCUUGAGCCUAUAAAGCCACCAGAAGCUUCACAUUCUUGUAGUGAAAUUACAACUUCAGUGCCUGAUGAAGGAUCACAAUCUGAGCCUUCCGCCCCUCCUUCUUUUGCUGAUUACUCUGAUUUAUUUGGAGAUGACUUUAAGAUACCAGAAUAUAUGUGGGACUCCAUUUUCAGUAAUG